Molecule: ribosomal RNA, 397 nt
Filed under: uncultured bacterium
Lineage: Bacteria
Description: bacterial SSU rRNA
Rfam family: Bacterial small subunit ribosomal RNA
Source: RNAcentral
GACGAACGCUGGCGGCGCGCUUAACACAUGCAAGUCGAGCGAUAACCAUGGCUUCGGCCAUGGGGAGAGCGGCGAACGGGUGAGUAACACGUGAGUAAUCUGCCCUCGACACUGGGAUAGCCCGGGGAAACCCGGAUUAAUACCGGAUAGCCUCUCGAGCUUUCGGGCUCGUGAGAAAAGAUGGCUUCGGCUUUCGGUUGAGGAGGAGCUUGCGGCGGAUUAGCUUGUUGGUGAGGAACGGCCCACCAAGCGACGAUCCGUAGCUGGUCUGAGAGGACGAUCAGCCACACUGGGACUGAGACACGGCCCACGACUCCUACGGGAGGGCAGCAGUGGGGAAGUCUUGCGCAAUGGGCGAAAGCCUGACGCAGCGACGCCGCGUGAGGGAAGAAGGCCU